UACGUUCCCGGCCUUGUACACACCGCCCGUCACACCACGAAAGUCGGCAAUACCCGAAGCCGGUGGCCUAACCCGUAAGGGAGGGAGCCGUCGAAGGUAGGGUCGAUGAUUGGGGUG
Molecule: ribosomal RNA, 117 nt
Filed under: uncultured bacterium
Lineage: Bacteria
Description: partial 16S ribosomal RNA
Rfam family: Bacterial small subunit ribosomal RNA
Source: RNAcentral